RNAcentral lists this ribosomal RNA (1111 nucleotides) under Acinetobacter baumannii. Its description in RNAcentral is "bacterial SSU rRNA". It matches the Rfam family "Bacterial small subunit ribosomal RNA", at positions 1 to 1104 of the family's 1533-position model. The record is from RNAcentral. Lineage: Bacteria; Pseudomonadati; Pseudomonadota; Gammaproteobacteria; Moraxellales; Moraxellaceae.
UUUAACUGAAGAGUUUGAUCAUGGCUCAGAUUGAACGCUGGCGGCAGGCUUAACACAUGCAAGUCGAGCGGGGGAAGGUAGCUUGCUACUGGACCUAGCGGCGGACGGGUGAGUAAUGCUUAGGAAUCUGCCUAUUAGUGGGGGACAACAUCUCGAAAGGGAUGCUAAUACCGCAUACGUCCUACGGGAGAAAGCAGGGGAUCUUCGGACCUUGCGCUAAUAGAUGAGCCUAAGUCGGAUUAGCUAGUUGGUGGGGUAAAGGCCUACCAAGGCGACGAUCUGUAGCGGGUCUGAGAGGAUGAUCCGCCACACUGGGACUGAGACACGGCCCAGACUCCUACGGGAGGCAGCAGUGGGGAAUAUUGGACAAUGGGGGGAACCCUGAUCCAGCCAUGCCGCGUGUGUGAAGAAGGCCUUAUGGUUGUAAAGCACUUUAAGCGAGGAGGAGGCUACUUUAGUUAAUACCUAGAGAUAGUGGACGUUACUCGCAGAAUAAGCACCGGCUAACUCUGUGCCAGCAGCCGCGGUAAUACAGAGGGUGCGAGCGUUAAUCGGAUUUACUGGGCGUAAAGCGUGCGUAGGCGGCUUAUUAAGUCGGAUGUGAAAUCCCCGAGCUUAACUUGGGAAUUGCAUUCGAUACUGGUGAGCUAGAGUAUGGGAGAGGAUGGUAGAAUUCCAGGUGUAGCGGUGAAAUGCGUAGAGAUCUGGAGGAAUACCGAUGGCGAAGGCAGCCAUCUGGCCUAAUACUGACGCUGAGGUACGAAAGCAUGGGGAGCAAACAGGAUUAGAUACCCUGGUAGUCCAUGCCGUAAACGAUGUCUACUAGCCGUUGGGGCCUUUGAGGCUUUAGUGGCGCAGCUAACGCGAUAAGUAGACCGCCUGGGGAGUACGGUCGCAAGACUAAAACUCAAAUGAAUUGACGGGGGCCCGCACAAGCGGUGGAGCAUGUGGUUUAAUUCGAUGCAACGCGAAGAACCUUACCUGGCCUUGACAUACUAGAAACUUUCCAGAGAUGGAUUGGUGCCUUCGGGAAUCUAGAUACAGGUGCUGCAUGGCUGUCGUCAGCUCGUGUCGUGAGAUGUUGGGUUAAGUCCCGCAACGAGCGCAACCC